This 255-nucleotide ribosomal RNA is filed under the name uncultured bacterium. Its description in RNAcentral is "partial 16S ribosomal RNA". It matches the Rfam family "Bacterial small subunit ribosomal RNA", at positions 524 to 776 of the family's 1533-position model. The record is from RNAcentral.
UACGUAGGGUGCAAGCGUUUAAUCGGAAUUACUGGGCGUAAAGCGUGCGCAGGCGGUUUGUAAGUCAGAUGUGAAAUCCCCGGGCUUAACCUGGGAACUGCGUUUGAAACUACAAGGCUAGAGUGUGGCAGAGGGGGGUGGAAUUCCACGUGUAGCAGUGAAAUGCGUAGAGAUGUGGAGGAACACCGAUGGCGAAGGCAGCCUCCGUGGGCCAGCACUGACGCUCAGUGCACGAAAGCGUGGGGAGCAAACAGG